Molecule: ribosomal RNA, 253 nt
Filed under: uncultured bacterium
Lineage: Bacteria
Description: partial 16S ribosomal RNA
Rfam family: Bacterial small subunit ribosomal RNA
Source: RNAcentral
CACGUAGGAGGCGAGCGUUGUCCGGAAUCAUUGGGCGUAAAGAGCGCGCAGGCGGCUUGGCAAGUCGGGUGUGAAAUCCCGGGGCUCAACCCCGGGACUGCAUUCGAUACUGACAGGCUAGAGGUAGGUAGGGGAGAUCGGAAUUCCUGGUGUAGCGGUGAAAUGCGCAGAUAUCAGGAGGAACACCGAUGGCGAAGGCAGGUCUCUGGGCCAUAACUGACGCUGAGAAGCGAAAGCAUGGGGAGCGAACAGG